CACACUCUACAAAUACAAACUGUGCGAUGCCUUUUAAAAGCAAUACAAAUACCCAUGGGCCUCAGGCCAUUUGAUUUCCACUUAUAAGCGUGACUCUGAAUUUCUUCUAAAGAUAACUGCUGUUUGCGGUUCUUUGUAGGAGAUUCGGUCGAGAUAACAUCGGGCAGGACGACAGUCUCAGAAUUCUUGGGAUAAUUUAACAAAUAAAAAAACUGCUCACAGUGGAUGAAAACUAGGUAACACAGUCUUGCUGGAAACCACCAAUCUCAAGUUUCACUUUUUUUUUAAGAAAACGAACCCGUCGUAUUUUUGGACUUUUCUCAGAUGUCAGAAGCCAAGACCAGUAAACUAGAAAUAAAAGAUCAAAAAGCGCCAAAUUUGUUUAAAAAGGAUGACGACUCUGCGGCUUUGUUAUCCAACACUUCAUUUUCUGAAUCCAUCAAACAACCUGAACUACCUCCAGAACAAAAGACUACUAAAGAUAAUACAUGUGUUAGUAGCAUACCUGAUUAUAAUGUUGGAAAAGGCAUCAGAAAAAUAUCAUCAGUUGAAUCCCAAGGUGAUGAGAAAUGGUCAGGAUCCACUUUAUCAUUGUGCUCUCCUGGCAGACAGAAAACCAAACUUUCUAGAACAAGAAAUACAUUAUCAUUUCAGCAGUCAGGCAAU
Long non-coding RNA from Protopterus annectens (West African lungfish), 666 nucleotides. RefSeq lists it as uncharacterized. NCBI's taxonomy places the organism in Eukaryota, Metazoa, Chordata, Ceratodontiformes, Protopteridae. The record is from RefSeq and is a predicted model, not a curated record. The transcript has 3 exons.